This 497-nucleotide ribosomal RNA is filed under the name uncultured bacterium. Its description in RNAcentral is "partial 16S ribosomal RNA". It matches the Rfam family "Bacterial small subunit ribosomal RNA", at positions 28 to 507 of the family's 1533-position model. The record is from RNAcentral.
GAUGAACGCUGGCGGCGUGCCUAAUACAUGCAAGUCGAGCGAACAGAUAAGGAGCUUGCUCCUUUGACGUUAGCGGCGGACGGGUGAGUAACACGUGGGUAACCUACCUAUAAGACUGGGAUAACUUCGGGAAACCGGAGCUAAUACCGGAUAAUAUUUCGAACCGCAUGGUUCGAUAGUGAAAGAUGGUUUUGCUAUCACUUAUAGAUGGACCCGCGCCGUAUUAGCUAGUUGGUAAGGUAACGGCUUACCAAGGCGACGAUACGUAGCCGACCUGAGAGGGUGAUCGGCCACACUGGAAGUGAGACACGGUCCAGACUCCUAAGGGAGGCAGCAGUAGGGAAUCUUCCGCAGUGGGCGAAAGCCUGACGGAGCAACGCCGCGUGAGUGAUGAAGGUCUUCGGAUCGUAAAACUCUGUUAUUAGGGAAGAACAUACGUGUAAGUAACUGUGCACGUCUUGACGGUACCUAAUCAGAAAGCCACGGCUAACUACGUG